RNAcentral lists this signal recognition particle RNA (100 nucleotides) under Oscillospiraceae bacterium. Its description in RNAcentral is "signal recognition particle sRNA small type". It matches the Rfam family "Bacterial small signal recognition particle RNA". Rfam says of the family: The signal recognition particle (SRP) is a universally conserved ribonucleoprotein involved in the co-translational targeting of proteins to membranes. Archaeal SRP consists of a 7S RNA and homologues of the eukaryotic SRP19 and SRP54 proteins. In most bacteria, the SRP consists of a 4.5S RNA and the Ffh protein (a homologue of the eukaryotic SRP54 protein). Lineage: Bacteria; Bacillati; Bacillota; Clostridia; Eubacteriales; Oscillospiraceae. The record is from RNAcentral.
GGACGGGUCCUGUGCAAUGAUGGGGUGUGAACCUUGUCAGGCCCGGAAGGGAGCAGCAAUCAGCACGGUACAUCAUGUGCCGCGGGGUUGCCUGGCCCGA